AAAUCAAUAACUAUAUAAUAAGUGAUUUGUUAACGGCUACAUCAACAAUGGCACCUCAUGCUAAAGUAGCUGUUGAGGAUGUCGUAGCAGUUAUUAAAAAGCAUAUCGACCAUUUUACAGAGAGAAGUACAUGGACAGAUGAACUUUUCGAGAUCAUUCAACGUCAAAC
Long non-coding RNA from Bactrocera neohumeralis, 169 nucleotides. RefSeq lists it as uncharacterized. The transcript has 3 exons. NCBI's taxonomy places the organism in Eukaryota, Metazoa, Arthropoda, Insecta, Diptera, Tephritidae. The record is from RefSeq and is a predicted model, not a curated record.